UCCUUCUUAGCUCAGUUGGUAGAGCGCGUCACUAGUAUAAUCGUAAAUGACGAGGUCAGUCGUUCAAGUCGGCUAGAAGGAA
This is a non-coding RNA of Lentinula aff. lateritia, 82 nucleotides long. Lineage: Eukaryota; Fungi; Basidiomycota; Agaricomycetes; Agaricales; Omphalotaceae. The record is from the annotation of a GenBank genome assembly.